This is a long non-coding RNA of Gavialis gangeticus (Gharial), 166 nucleotides long. RefSeq lists it as uncharacterized. NCBI's taxonomy places the organism in Eukaryota, Metazoa, Chordata, Crocodylia, Gavialidae. The record is from RefSeq and is a predicted model, not a curated record. The transcript has 3 exons.
AAAAACCUCUUAUGAAAUAUUUUAUUUUAGAAUGAUGAAUAAAAUGUUUAAGACAAAGUGUUCAUAUAUUGCUACCCCUUACUCCCCAAAAAUGUUUUCUAAUAACUAUGUAAUAGGAAGACUUUUAUGUAAGACUAUCUACAGCAGGGGUGUGCAACCUUUUUGG